This 219-nucleotide ribosomal RNA is filed under the name uncultured bacterium. Its description in RNAcentral is "partial 16S ribosomal RNA". It matches the Rfam family "Bacterial small subunit ribosomal RNA", at positions 524 to 742 of the family's 1533-position model. The record is from RNAcentral.
UACAGAGGUCUCAAGCGUUGUUCGGAUUCAUUGGGCGUAAAGGGUGCGUAGGUGGCGCGGUAAGUCGGGUGUGAAAUCUCGGAGCUUAACUCCGAAAUUGCAUUCGAUACUGCCGUGCUUGAGGACUGGAGAGGAGACUGGAAUUCAUGGUGUAGCAGUGAAAUGCGUAGAGAUCAUGAGGAAGACCAGUGGCGAAGGCGGCAUCCUGGACCGACACUG